RNAcentral lists this ribosomal RNA (790 nucleotides) under uncultured beta proteobacterium. Its description in RNAcentral is "bacterial SSU rRNA". It matches the Rfam family "Bacterial small subunit ribosomal RNA", at positions 74 to 860 of the family's 1533-position model. The record is from RNAcentral. Lineage: Bacteria; Pseudomonadati; Pseudomonadota; Betaproteobacteria.
GCGGGGCAACCUGGCGGCGAGCGGCGAACGGGUGAGUAAUGCAUCGGAACAUGUCCAAUUGUGGGGGAUAGCCCGGCGAAAGCCGGAUUAAUACCGCAUGAGCCCGAGAGGGGAAAGUGGGGGACCGCAAGGCCUCACGCGAUUGGGUUGGCCGAUGUCCGAUUAGCUAGUUGGCGGGGUAAAGGCCCACCAAGGCGAUGAUCGGUAGCUGGUCUGAGAGGAUGAUCAGCCACACUGGGACUGAGACACGGCCCAGACUCCUACGGGAGGCAGCAGUGGGGAAUUUUGGACAAUGGGGGAAACCCUGAUCCAGCCAUUCCGCGUGAGUGAAGAAGGCCUUCGGGUUGUAAAGCUCUUUUGUCCGGAACGAAACGGGUAAGGCUAAUACCUUUGCCUACUGACGGUACCGGAAGAAUAAGCACCGGCUAACUACGUGCCAGCAGCCGCGGUAAUACGUAGGGUGCGAGCGUUAAUCGGAAUUACUGGGCGUAAAGCGUGCGCAGGCGGUUUUGCAAGCCAGAUGUGAAAGCCCCGGGCUCAACCUGGGAAUGGCAUUUGGGACUGCAAGGCUGGAGUGUGGCAGAGGAGACUGGAAUUCCUGGUGUAGCAGUGAAAUGCGUAGAUAUCAGGAGGAAUACCGAUGGCGAAGGCAGGUCUCUGGGCUGACACUGACGCUCAUGCACGAAAGCGUGGGGAGCAAACAGGAUUAGAUACCCUGGUAGUCCACGCCCUAAACGAUGUCGACUGGUUGUUGGGGGGUUUGACACUCUCAGUAACGAAGCUAACGCGU